RNAcentral lists this transfer RNA (71 nucleotides) under Capra hircus (goat). It matches the Rfam family "tRNA". From Rfam's summary of the family: Transfer RNA (tRNA) molecules are approximately 80 nucleotides in length. Their secondary structure includes four short double-helical elements and three loops (D, anti-codon, and T loops). RNAcentral also lists the same sequence under 1 other name. Lineage: Eukaryota; Metazoa; Chordata; Mammalia; Artiodactyla; Bovidae. The record is from Rfam by way of RNAcentral.
CCCUGAUGGCUCAGAUGGUAAAGAGCCUGCCUGCAAUGCAGGAGACCCAUGUUCGAUCCCUGGAUCAGGAA